Molecule: non-coding RNA, 306 nt
Organism: Leptosomus discolor (cuckoo roller)
Lineage: Eukaryota; Metazoa; Chordata; Aves; Leptosomiformes; Leptosomidae
Source: RefSeq, a predicted model, not a curated record
CUUUAGUUUUCAGACUGAACUACAGUGCCUCUGACACAAAUGACAGGAACCGAGUGAAAAGCAGAUUAAAGAAGUUCAUCUCUCGAAGACCCUCCUUGAAAACAUUGCAAGAAAAGGGACUUAUUAAAGAUCAAAUUUUUGGCUCCCAUUUGCACUUGGUUUGUGAACACGAGAAAUCUACAGUCCCCCAGUUUGUAAAACUGUGUAUAAAAGCUGUUGAAAAAAGAGGUCUAGAUGUUGAUGGAAUAUACAGAGUUAGCGGCAAUCUGGCAACAAUACAGAAGUUACGAUUUGUUGUCAAUCAGG